This is a long non-coding RNA of Brassica napus (rape), 1588 nucleotides long. RefSeq lists it as uncharacterized. The transcript has 3 exons. The record is from RefSeq and is a predicted model, not a curated record. NCBI's taxonomy places the organism in Eukaryota, Viridiplantae, Streptophyta, Magnoliopsida, Brassicales, Brassicaceae.
AUUUAAUUAAAUAAAAAAGAAGGAAAAAAUAGAUUAUCGAUCCUUAAGUGGUGAUCUUUGUGACCGAUUAUUAGAAAGUUUUGCAAACCACGUGUCAGCAUUUCAGGCAAACUAUAUUUUUUUUCUCUUUUGUUUUCACCAAAAUCAUUUUGGUUUUCUCUUCUUCAUCUCUCUUUCCUCUCUUCGUGUUCUCCGUCACGAGUGAGAAAAGAUCGAAACCGAUUGAAACCACCAAAGAUCCUCUACCACCGAUCCUCCGUCUUCGCUCUCGUCUUCUCCUCUUCUCCGUGACAGAGGAAGGAUUGAAACCCACCACCGAUCGAGUUUCCCCAAAAAGUACGACGACUCUUUCUCUUCUCACGGCGUUCCGCCGUCUUCUCUCGCUCCUCACGGCGUCUCCUCCGUCUUCUGUCGUCUUGUUCGUCUCCACCACCGAUCCUCCGUCUCUCGCUCCUCACGGCGUUCCUCCGUCUUCUCUCGUCUCCCUCAGAAGAGCGAUCGAAAUCCACAGAUAAGUGAUGUUUCAGUUUCUCUUCUUCACAUGCAAAAUCAAACUGUUCGGUUCAGUUUUUGUUGUUGACAUAAUCUACUAAUUUUGCAUUAAUAUCGAAUCAAUCUCUCUCGUUUCAUCAUCUAGUUUCCAAGGAAAGAAGAAAAGAAAAGUUUUUCUGUUAGUUUUGUUUUCUCGGAAGAAACUAGAUUCUGACUUUGAUCAACGAUCCUUUAGCUCUAACUCUUUCUGUGUUUACUGGUUAGAUAUGUGUAUACUUUGUUUUAAUGAUCGUUUUCAAUUCAACAGGACGCCAAGGAACAUAUUUCUGUAUUGGCUUCGUCUCUACCAGACAAAAUGGGUUGAGGGCGAUGUGAACAAGGUUACACAUCCAGUUCAUCGACAAGCAAACACAAUGUGAGACUGUCGUUGUUAAUUACGACAGGGACCUUGAGGUCGAGAGUCAACCACUUCUUCAGAGUCUCGACAACAAGACACUCCCUUUCCUUAUGCGAGUUUUCCACUCGAUGGGGAUAUCGGAUCAUCACAACUCCCUCUGUUCAGUACUCAAGCAACUGCAACAUCUAGCUUCUAUGAAGACUCUCCUACACAGCGUAAAGGAAGAAAGAAAUGGAGUCCCUCCGAUGAUCUAGUGCUGAUUAGCGCAUGGUUAAACACCAGCAAGGACCCUGUUGUGGGCAAUGAGCAGAAAGCAGGAGCUUAUGAGAGCAUGUAUCAUACUCCAUAAUAUGAUAGUAGAAGACGAACGAGAUGGAUACACUCAUUUUGAUGUUUCAGAGUUCCAACAAGGAGAAGAAACUGGAACUUCACAUGUCGAUCUCACGUAUUCUACAGAUAUCCCUUCAAAUAUCGCCAAUAUGAUGGGUGUUCGAACAAGAAUUCGUGAUAGACAAAUGCAUCAACAACUCAAAGCUGAUUUGGUUGAACAUAUAUGGCGUAAAUUUGGAUCUGAUGGAGACAACUACUAAGCUCAGAUGUUUUUCCAAAUUAUUCUCGAUUAUUGUACUAGUUUUUUUAAUGUUUUUUUUAAUAAGUAUGUUCUAAAUGUUAUAUAAUAAAUAAAUUUCAUCUUUAAAA